RNAcentral lists this ribosomal RNA (549 nucleotides) under Triticum aestivum (bread wheat). RNAcentral's name for it is "partial small subunit ribosomal RNA". The record is from RNAcentral. Lineage: Eukaryota; Viridiplantae; Streptophyta; Magnoliopsida; Poales; Poaceae.
AUGUCCGGCAGCAGCAUCCUCCUGGCCGCGGCGGUGGCAGCGGCCCUGCUGGUGGCGUCGGCGUCGGCGCAGUCCGGGUGCACGGCGGUGCUCGUCGGGCUGUACCCGUGCAUGAACUACAUCGGCGGCAACGACAUGGCGCCGACUAAGUCCUGCUGCUCGCAGCUUGGCUCCGUGGUGCAGUCCCAGCCGCAGUGCCUCUGCAGCGCGCUCGGCGGCGACUCGUCAUCGCUGGGCCGCCACGCCGACCACGCCCGAGGUGCAGACACCGGCAGGGUCUGGAUCCAAGACGACCCCGUCGGCGUACCUGCAGGAGAACGGCGGCUCGUCACUCCAUGGCCCGGCUGGGCUGGUGCUCGCCCUCGCGGCUGCUGCGGUCUACGCCGUGUGGUGAGCGAGCAUCUCGGCCGCUGGACUGAAGCGGCAGCUGGCUGGCGACUCGGAAAUUCGUUUCCUGUCAGUGUGACACGAUUAGAUUUUCAUAUUGGUUUAGCGUUGAGCAUUGGCGAGGAGGACUGGUCAGUGUUGUGUUCCACAUCUGUACUAUAG